AGUGAACGCUGGCGGUAGGCCUAACACAUGCAAGUCGAACGGCAGCACAGUAAGAGCUUGCUCUUACGGGUGGCGAGUGGCGGACGGGUGAGGAAUACAUCGGAAUCUACUUUUUCGUGGGGGAUAACGUAGGGAAACUUACGCUAAUACCGCAUACGACCUACGGGUGAAAGCAGGGGAUCUUCGCACCUUGCGCGAUUGAAUGAGCCGAUGUCGGAUUAGCUAGUUGGCGGGGUAAAGGCCCACCAAGGCAACGAUCCGUAGCUGGUCUGAGAGGAUGAUCAGCCACACUGGAACUGAGACACGGUCCAGACUCCUACGGGGGGCAGCAGUGGGGAAUAUUGGACAAUGGGCGCAAGCCUGAUCCAGCCAUACCGCGUGGGUGAAGAAGGCCUUCGGGUUGUAAAGCCCUUUUGUUGGGAAAGAAAAGCAGCAGGUUAAUACCCCGCUGUUCUGACGGUACCCAAAGAAUAAGCACCGGCUAACUUCGUG
This 492-nucleotide ribosomal RNA is filed under the name uncultured bacterium. RNAcentral's name for it is "partial 16S ribosomal RNA". It matches the Rfam family "Bacterial small subunit ribosomal RNA", at positions 29 to 507 of the family's 1533-position model. The record is from RNAcentral.